GAUGAACGCUGGCGGCGUGCCUAAUACAUGCAAGUCGAGCGAACGGACGAGAAGCUUGCUUCUCUGAUGUUAGCGGCGGACGGGUGAGUAACACGUGGAUAACCUACCUAUAAGACUGGGAUAACUUCGGGAAACCGGAGCUAAUACCGGAUAAUAUUUUGAACCGCAUGGUUCAAAAGUGAAAGACGGUCUUGCUGUCACUUAUAGAUGGAUCCGCGCUUCAUUAGCUGGUUGGUAAGGUAACGGCUUACCAAGGCAACGAUGCAUAGCCGACCUAAGAGGUGGACCGGCCACACUGGACCUGAGACACGGUCCAGACUCCUACGGGAGGCAGCAGUAGGGAAUCUUCCGCAAUGGGCGAAAGCCUGACGGAGCAACGCCGCGUGAGUGAUGAAGGUCUUCGGAUCGUAAAACUCUGUUAUUAGGGAAGAACAUAUGUGUAAGUAACUGUGCACAUCUUGACGGUACCUAAUCAGAAAGCCACGGCUAACUACGUG
Molecule: ribosomal RNA, 497 nt
Filed under: uncultured bacterium
Lineage: Bacteria
Description: partial 16S ribosomal RNA
Rfam family: Bacterial small subunit ribosomal RNA
Source: RNAcentral